Molecule: ribosomal RNA, 47 nt
Filed under: uncultured fungus
Lineage: Eukaryota; Fungi
Description: partial 28S ribosomal RNA
Source: RNAcentral
UUGACCUCGGAUCAGGCAGGGAUACCCGCUGAACUUAAGCAUAUCAA